This is a long non-coding RNA of Astatotilapia calliptera (eastern happy), 1256 nucleotides long. The record is from Ensembl. Lineage: Eukaryota; Metazoa; Chordata; Actinopteri; Cichliformes; Cichlidae.
CUCAGAGCUGGAUGGUCUGUGAGAGCAGCAGCAUGGCCGCCUUCGUCUCACUGGUAACAUGUCAGCACUGCCCCGUCACCUCCACCCGCCGCGGCCUCAUCUACAGAGACUCUCUCUCCGCUCUGUCUAGGAACCUCAGGGCCCCCGGGGGCCCCCGUCAGCCCCCGGGCCCCCGGCCGCAGGGCUUCGGCCUCCAAGGCGGACGCCGCUGCAGGCUCAACAGACCUGAGCUCCCAGAAUCCACUGCUCUGGCUCGCUCCAAGCAGUCUGGCAGCAUGAAGCACCUGGUCCUGGCUCACCUGAGGAGGAUGCUGACUCCGAGCCCCGCCCAGCAGCAGAGAGGCCUCCGCCUGCCAGGCUGACCUCUGACCCGCUGCUGGGACGCAGGAGGUGGUCCGGAGUCGCAGUGAGAGCUGCUGGACACCAGAGGGCGACAGAGGUUCAGACUGGGUCUGAGGUGGAGGAGAACUGGUGUGGUUGCCUUUCCCUUUUCCCUCACCUCCACCCAGCACCUGUGGGAGGAGGCCGGACUUACCGAACAUCCUCAUCCUCCGCAGGGAGGAAGAGCGCAGCAGCUGUCCACAAAGUUCUGAGCAGAAGCUCCUCAGCGUGGUGGGUCUGAGCCCCACGGCACUGUGGGUAAUGACUGCAGCUGCUCAAGACACAAUUUUCCUGCUGCAAAUGAACAAAAUGUUAAUUAUUUGUGUUUCAGAGAUUCAGCCGUCGCUGUGAUGGCUCAGAUCUGUGUGUGUCAAACUGUAUUUAUUAAACAGACUUUAGACAUUCAUGUUAAACUUAAGUAAACGAGUUGGAUUCAACAGUGUUUCUGUUUCCUGGAGUUACUUUAGGUUCUGUGAUCAGUGUUAGAUGAUUAUAGUGUGUAGCUGCAGAUCGGAGCAGCUGACUGUCUCGUGUCCUGCAGCAGGAGAAUGAACCCACAGCAGCCAAACAGCUGAUUGUGUUCAGGCUUCAAAGCUUUAUGCUGAACUCCGUUAGGAUCUCUCAGAGUUCCCACAGCAGGAGGAAGACUGCUGCCUUCAUGAGCCGUCCUACAGAGUGGGAAAAAUGCCUAUUUUUACAGACACAUACGUGAACGGGGGUCAUGUUUAUAAGUGUACCCACCCUCAGGUGUUCAUACAGGGCACUGGCCCUUUAGCAUCAAAGACAGGUUUUUGUAACAGCUGUGGACGGCUCUGUAUUUCCUCACACCUCGCUUUCUUCCUGAGAACGACUCAAACUGAGGUCAGAAGACUGAG